GCCAGGCAUGGUGGUGCAUGCCUGUAAUCCCAGCUACUUGGGAGGCUGAGGCAGGAGAAUCGCUUGAGCCCAGGAGGCGGAGGUUGUGGUGAGUGGAGAUUGUGCCACUGCCCUCCAGCCUGGGCAACAGAGCGAGACUCCAUCUCAA
This 148-nucleotide non-coding RNA is filed under the name Pan paniscus (pygmy chimpanzee). Lineage: Eukaryota; Metazoa; Chordata; Mammalia; Primates; Hominidae. The record is from Rfam by way of RNAcentral. RNAcentral also lists the same sequence under 1 other name.